Molecule: long non-coding RNA, 1155 nt
Organism: Scophthalmus maximus (turbot)
Lineage: Eukaryota; Metazoa; Chordata; Actinopteri; Pleuronectiformes; Scophthalmidae
Exons: 2
Source: RefSeq, a predicted model, not a curated record
GAGCAAAAUAAUCAAAAUGAUCGGUCUCCUCGUCUACACUAGCAUCUGUCUGUACCUCUGGGAUCUUCUGCUGGGCUGCUGUUGUCUCACUGGAUACUGUCUCUUUAUCUUCUCUCUCAGCAUUGGACUCCCCUGUAUUGCAUAGCAUUAAAAAUGCAGAAGGGCAUAGACACUGUUAUGUCAUGGCCGCAGAUAGGAACUCUUGAGUAAACAACUUGAACCUAGUAUUUAUUCAGUCAUUUUAUUGUAAUGCAUUUAUGCGGCACAAUGAAUUCUGUCUAGACUAACUUUAAAUCUAUAGCCUAAUGUUAACACCAUUCUAAAUAUCUGGAUAGCAUAUAGAAUCUAUCACCUCUCCUGCUCUAUGUGUGUGUUAUCUAAUCUUACUUGACAUAACUUUAAUUGAUAUUGUUUGCUCUGUUAUCUUCUCUACCUGUCCCUUCUGCAGUCAUGGCCUCUGGCUGCUCUUCCUCAUUUUCAGCAGGGGCCUGGCUUAUCUGUUGCUCAGAUGCUACAAGAACAAUCAUGAAGAGCCCGUCCUUGCUGACACUCGUCAUGUUGGGGGAGCUGUUGGUACCUGAGAAGCUAUAUGGACCCAACCAACUCUAUCUGGGAGGAGGGGGGAACUCCCUCAGAUGGUACAACCCAUCUGCUGUGCUGUCAGGCAGAGAGAAGUGAACUAACGGGACAAUUGUCAGUAGUUUUUUUGCGACCGUCCCAAAAUGAAGUGAAAGUGAAGCGGCCCACCGGGAAUUUCCCGAUUACCCACUCCGCCCCUGCCCAGGAGUUUGCUCAAACUGAUAAAUGAUGAGUGUCCAGGCGGUUACAGCCUAUGCUACAUCACUGCCGUGUCUAUGGUUUGAUUCUGGUUGUUGAGCUUCACUUUCCCCUUUUAAGUAAGUGAAUGGGGUGAAAGCAGAUGAAUGGAAGCAUUCAAAUCCAAAUAGCCGUUGUAGAAUAACUACUGAAAGAAGAUUUCAAGGCAGUUUGAUGAUUCACAGUGAAAUGGGAUGACUCUUCACUUAAGUCCUGUUGCUCAUCCUUUGCUCAACCAUGCUGUUUCCAUUUUUAAAAGCCUACUCCGCAUUAGCAGGACCUACAGUAUGUGUAGCUUCCACUGUCUGGUAUUUUUUCAAUAAAUAAGAUAAAAAGGAA